Molecule: ribosomal RNA, 229 nt
Filed under: uncultured bacterium
Lineage: Bacteria
Description: partial 16S ribosomal RNA
Rfam family: Bacterial small subunit ribosomal RNA
Source: RNAcentral
ACUGCCUGAUGGAGGGGGAUAACUACUGGAAACGGUAGCUAAUACCGCAUAACGUCGCAAGACCAAAGAGGGGGACCGUUCGGGCCUCUUGCCAUCGGAUGUGCCCAGAUGGGAUUAGCUAGUAGGUGGGGUAACGGCUCACCUAGGCGACGAUCCCUAGCUGGUCUGAGAGGAUGACCAGCCACACUGGAACUGAGACACGGUCCAGACUCCUACGGGAGGCAGCAUG